UUUUUUUCCCCAGUACUACAAAGUGGCCACUGCAAAACCAAUUUUUACUGAAUUAAGUUUCUUUCUUAUCAAAGAAAGUUCUCACAGAAGUUGUCCUUGGUUAGGGGAGGAUGACAGUUCUGAAGGGCAGCAGGAUCAAGAUCAGGAACUGUAGCAUGCCACCUUGGCUAUAAUACCCACCAACUUCCUUCAGAGAUGUAAUUACAAGAUGGAAGCUUGACAGUCUGUCCCCAAAAAGGUCCUGAAUGGAGAACACAGACACCCAUCCAGAUGAAGACAGUGAGGAGCUCUGGUGUGCACCUCUCCUUGUCAGAGGGCUGAGGUGCUGAAAAGGUAAAUGCUGUGCUUGGCUCUGUGCCCCACAGGCUGCUGUGGUCCAGCACAGGGUAUGGGCAGGAAUGGGGCUCCAGGGAAUGGAGCACUCCAGACUACUGUGUAUGGCUGAAGGCUGGUUUACCUUCUCAUAGAGAAAUAAUGGAGAAGGUAUUUAGAGAAACGGCUUACUAUUACUGCUGCUGACAGAGUAACAGUUCAGAAGUAGCUAAGUGGUCAUAACAAACAGGUAAGAAACCCUAAAGUUCAUGAAUAGCAACACUGCAGGAGGCUCAGCACAACUGUUACACAUAAAAAACAACAGCCACUUUCUUCUACAUCCUCUGCAGCCUCAUUAAAGCACAGGCUUGCAAACUCAACGUUUUCAUACCAAAUUACAGAGCUAAGUUUCAAGGCAAACAUAUGUAAACACCCAUUAGGUAAGCGUUAAUAAUUCACAGCAAGAUGCCAGCUUGCCAGUAAGACAUUUAAUGGGCAAAGAAACCAUUGCAAAAGGUCGGUGGAAUAAACUGGGUAACUUUCAAACAAAAGGAAUUGCUUUCUGUAUUAGUAUUGUUCAUAAAGACUUUAUUUUGCUGCUCUUGUUUUUUUAAAUAAAAGUGGUUUUGCUAUAAUAUUUUUGCUAAUGUUUAUAUUUGUGUACUUAAAAUCACACAUAUAAUCUCUUCCUUUUCUGAUGAUGAUUCCUCUGCCUUUGCCAGCCAAAAGGGCAGAAUGGGGCUGUAUCAAGUGUCAACCAGACACCAGGAUUCAGUUGCCUACCACAGGGGGUGGUACCCUGUGCUGGUGGCAAACAGCUACCACAGUACUCGGGAAACUGGUUCAUAAGUAGCAGCAUACCACACACUCAGCAGAUUGAUGGGGUAACAGCAACACUGCCCAGGGGGAUUGAAAAAGAUUGUAGGACACCUCCUGGGAAGAGGAAUAAAACUGCCCCAGGGCAGGAGCUGUCAGAGUCCCAGCCAGGUUGGGACAGGAGACAAGUGGGGUGGUGAGCUAUCCCUGCAUGGGCAGGAGCUGAACUUGGUUUUAUGCUUCACCUCUGGGUAAUCCCACACAUAAAGGUGUCAAACUCCUUUCAUAGUACAAGAAUGAUCCAACACCACCCAAGUAAGCUAUAACAUGUGCUAAUCCCAACAGACUUAGUUCUGUACAAAUAAAAGCACACUGAUCCUUAAAUACAUUUGCUUUUAACUCAUUAUUAUUGUGAUUUACCAGAAUAGUAGGUUUUAUUAUAUUUCUUAGCUUAGUCACUGUGGGACUGUGGCUGCACUAUUUUGGGACCUCAACAGACUGUGUGGCACAGCCAUACACUGCAUCAGCUUCCCAGUUUAGAGAUCUUUACACCAUGCCACACUGUACAUCUACACACAGUCUCCAGGACACUGGGAAAAUCUGAUGCCUGCGGAAAGGGAGGCAGAAAGGUAACAAAGAUGAGUAUAUGAAGCAUUCCUCUUACCACUGACCCUUGUCUAGGAGCUAAAGGAAGCUGGUUUUAUAUACAAAUCAUCAAUACACAGCCUUUUCAAUACAAAACCCAAGUAGAAAUCCUGUGCAAACUGCUUUCUUCUCAGUUGCUCUGGUAUUCUCUUCCCUCACCUUUCCAAUACAAUGAUGCUCUGCUUACAUUCAUCCACAAUGCUCUGCAAAGGCAUCUUGGCUUUGAUGGUGCCACCUUUUUCUUUGUAGCAUUCCAUUUUAUCUCAGCCUGUUAUCACAUGAAAUAUUGAGCAUUUUCCUUCCUAACUAGACCCAUCCUUUCCAUCAUCCUCAUUUACAGCCUAUGUUCAUUCCACCAUGUCAGGUCUCUGUCACCCAGUUUCCUGCACUUAUCUCCUUUGCCCCUCAUUUCUGAAGAAAUUGCCACUGAAAAUUAUUAUAUUAUAGUAAUUAUUAUUAUUAUUAUACUUUAUUAUCUUUAUUAAUGUAUUUUAUUAUAUGUAUUAUUAUGCUUAUUAUGAUAAUAUUGUCCCCAUGGUUUAAGAAUCUCUAAAACUUAGCAAGGCCAAACAUUUGUUUGCUGAGUCCACUAAAUAUGACAAAACAGUCUCUGUACAAAUCUUGGUGCAACUGUAUCUAUUGUCUCUUAUGUAAAAUUUCUGGAAAUAAAAGUCUCUUGUGUUUAUACACCUUGUACAGUGAUGUCCUAACCCACGAACAGGGUGCCAAGAUACUAUGGUAAUGUAAAAAUCACCUCUGCAAUGCAAGGCGACCUAUGAUGCAGGGAUGCCUACACAAAUUCUCUGGAUUCUGUAUGGAUUUGCACACUGCUGGAUGCCCAUUUCUGUCCCUCAACCCCCCACAGUCAGGGCAGAAACAACAGAUACUCUUAUCACUCACUUUUACCGUCUCAUCCCUAAUUUGGGCAUAAUCCAAAUUUAAACCAGUUAUCUAAUUAUCAUUUCUCUAGGCUGUGUGGUUUCCAGAAAUAACCAAUGCUGCAUCCCCUUCCCCCAUCAGGGAAACACACCUAGCAGCAAUUGCCAAACCCCACCCAUGUCCCAGUGCCCUACUGUGUAGGACCCUGUGGCACAGAGCCCUAACCCUCACAGCAGACACUUCCCACAGCCUUGCCUGGAUUAGCCACCAAAUCCACAGGUGCACCUGCAGCUCUGGUUUUUCAAGCCCUGUCCCUCCCCAGUGCUUCAGUGACCCACCCUCAGGCAGCUCCUAAGGACCAAGCAAUGACCUGCCCACUGCCUCUGUCCCACUCUUUGGGAGGAACUCGAAAGAUACGCUAACAAGCAUCUGAGCUGUGCAUGCUGUAAAUAAACUAUAUAUUAUUACAGAGUGGAUGUAGCCCUAAUCCAUAGCACCAGAGGAGGAAGAAGGAAAAUGCAAAAACUUUCCUAAUCCCUGCAGCAAAAUCUGUAAUUGAGCCUUUUCCAAACUGAGCAAAUUAAUUUUUCCCUCAAUGGUUCUGAGCACUGUCUCAACCCUUUUUAUUCAAAUAUUUCCUAAAAAGCUGGGAAGAACAAAAGCAAAAUCAGAAACAGAAUAUUUCCAGAGUCAUCCUAACACAAAACAUGGACAAAUAUUUCUUAAUUUCUUUCAAAUUCAGUAUGUUAGAUCCUUUUCUACACAUUGAUGUUGCGCCAGUUGAACAUAAUUCACUAAUUCCUCACUCUAAAGUAAAGGCAAAAGCCCUCCAGUUGCCUUUGGAAGCAAGGGACCUGCAGCUAUUGGAUCUCACAACCACUCCUGUGCCUCAUAGUUCUGGAAACUCCUCCAUAGGGGCAUGUGAAGGAGCUGGGUAGAGACCCCAAAGCCAUCUGAAGCGAGCACGGUGGUCCCUGGUGUGAAGCUGCUGUCCUGGCAUGCAGAGCAAUAUCGCACUGACUCACCGCAGUGACAGCCACACACACGCCUGAGGAGCCCUGGCUCUACCCACCACAAUCUUCACCCACCCAGCUUUGCAGUGCCUCAUCUCCAGGAAACAGCAUCUCAGAGCUGGGAGAUGUUUCCUGACAAAAUAAAAGAGAUGGACAAUAAAACCUUGGCUUACAUUAUUAAGAAAUAGUACAUUUUGUGUUAUUUUUCUUUUCCCUGACAUUGUAUAUUACAAUAUUUUAUAAGUAACAGCUUUUUAGUAACCUGGACUCCAGAUGUACUUAAAUUAUUGUGAAAUGGUUAAAUUAACAUUUUUCCAUGUGGUAAUCAUUCACAGCAGAAAAGGAUCCGGACACAAUGAGUAUUUCCCAUGCAAAAAUAUAACAUAGUUUCCAAGUUUAGAAAGAAAGAAACAAUAUAUGCAUUAAAUAUAAAUCUAUUUUACAGUCAAAACCUUUUGUCACAAAGAUUAAAUAAUUCCCCUGCAGUUCACAAUUUCAAGCAUCCCAAAGUACCUCUGGUUUUCUUUACCCUUAUUGUGCUCCUAAACUCUUCUCCUUUCUCCCAUCAAACAUUUGCAGCCUGGCUUUCCUAGGCAACUACUCCUCAGAGGGAGUGUAAUAAUGUAGAGAUGCAAUUUCCAAUUUCUCUCCUCCAGGGCUCAAUUCCAAGCUUCAUUAAGGUUUGACAAAUAAAUUAGAGUGCUUUGCCACUGCACAAAAUAACCUUCACUUCUAAGGCAAGCCCUGGCAAUUGAAUUGCUUAUCCUCAAAUAUAUAUAUGACACUUUGAGUGCAUCAACAUCAAAACCUUGGAACAACUAACCCAGUUCUAUCUCACACCGUGCUCACUGAUCUACACAUCUCUGUUCAGUCAUCCCAGUCUUUCCAAAAUCUUUCACACCUUUCCCUAGUAGGGCUUCUCUGCCAGAAAAGGCUGGGUUAUAAAAUAACCAAAAUAGUAAAAAAAAAAAAAA
Long non-coding RNA from Taeniopygia guttata (zebra finch), 4639 nucleotides. Lineage: Eukaryota; Metazoa; Chordata; Aves; Passeriformes; Estrildidae. The record is from Ensembl.